RNAcentral lists this long non-coding RNA (993 nucleotides) under Fukomys damarensis (Damara mole-rat). RNAcentral describes it as "lncRNA (ENSFDAG00000031267.1)". The record is from RNAcentral. Lineage: Eukaryota; Metazoa; Chordata; Mammalia; Rodentia; Bathyergidae.
AGGGAACUCUGGCUUUCUCCUUCAGCACUACACACUGCAGCUUACACAAUGAAUGGUGGUUGGACUGAUGCCGGUGGUGACAAAUGUCCAAGGCUUAUGUGGGUUCUUGGUGUGGGGUUGUGUGUCCAUGUUGCCUCUCUGUCCUGAGGAACUGCCUCUCUGAGAAAUGGCAUCUGUCUCCCCCGCGGCAACACGGGCUCUGUGAGCGCAUGAGGUAACGUCACAUGGCUGCUCAGUGAAAGAAAGAGGCAGCAGGCCAUUUUCCUGACUCUCCUUACAGGUUUCCGGUUAUAAAUACCUGACGGUGCCUAGGUCCUUAUCAAGUGGCUACAGUGCCGAGUGAGCUGUGACAGGUGCAGCUGAGGUUACUUCAGCCAGAAAGCCUGAGAAUUAGCAUACAGAGCGGUGGCGGCUCUGCUGCAAAGUGGCAUUCUUCCACAGGACUGAAACACAGAGGGAAUGAUGGGAAAACGUGUCUUCCCUCUGUCUUCCUACUACCCCAUUGCGGUUCUUCUGGGCUGCCCAUCUCUUCUGCAAGAUGCAUGGCUCUCUGGGAAGAACUGGAAAAGAGCUCAACCCGUUAUGCUCGGCACCUACGAGAAUGGAUUAUAAAAGAUCGGGCUAUGACAAAGACAUUUGUCACGAGGAAAAACGAAUGAGUGAAGGAAUGAACAAGGCACCAGUGAAGAAAUCUCUUGCUAAACUUCAAGCCCCUCAUCCCUCCUUCCCGUUUCUCAUCUAUGUGAAGCGUUUGUUGGAUGUGACAAGGCCCUAGAUCCCACAUCCUGACAUCUGAGGAAAUGGGACACAGGCAUUCGCUCCCCUGCAGAGCUUUAGAAUUGACGCCCACCAAGAAUGGCCUGGGUGUCAGCCUUCUUGGGUCAGAAACAGGGCAAGAUGUCCUGUAGGGGGCCUAUGCAUCUGGUUCUCACCCAACAUCUCCUCUACCUGGCCUACUCCAGAGCUGCCUGUAUGCAUGCGUGCUGACCAGCC